UACAGAGGAGCCAAGCGUUGUCCGGAUUGACUGGGCGUAAAGCGCACGCAGGCGGUGGUGCGCGUGGGGUGUGAAAUCUGGCCGCUUAACGGCCAGGCGCCAUCCCAUACGGCACGACUGGAGGGCUGCAGAGGUCGAUGGAAUUGCCGGUGUAGUGGUGAAAUGCGUAGAGAUUGGGAAGAACACCAGUGGCGAAGGCGGCUAUCUGGACGGUUUCUGACGCUAAGACGCGAAAGCGUGGGGAGCAAACAGG
Molecule: ribosomal RNA, 253 nt
Filed under: uncultured bacterium
Lineage: Bacteria
Description: partial 16S ribosomal RNA
Rfam family: Bacterial small subunit ribosomal RNA
Source: RNAcentral